RNAcentral lists this ribosomal RNA (791 nucleotides) under Veretillum cynomorium. RNAcentral's name for it is "partial large subunit ribosomal RNA". It matches the Rfam family "Eukaryotic large subunit ribosomal RNA", at positions 402 to 991 of the family's 3401-position model. Lineage: Eukaryota; Metazoa; Cnidaria; Anthozoa; Scleralcyonacea; Veretillidae. The record is from RNAcentral.
AAACCGUUGAAAGGGAAGCGAAUGGAGUUAGCAAUUCCCUCCCCCAAAUCCACUUCUUGCGGCCCGGCGCCUGGGCGCCCCCCAUCCUUUGUAGACGAGUCGUUUGCGUACGCCGCGCGUGGCAAGCGCACUUCUGGCGGGCGAGCGUCUACGUCGGUCUGUGGCGCGCUAAAAAGUCGCGGGGAAGGUGGACCGUCCUUCGGGACGGUUGUUAAGCCCUGCCAACGCCUGGGCCGUCCCAGUCCGUGGAAUAUCGUCGCGACGCGUGCCUCCCUUCGGGGGUUGGCUGGUGUCUCGUUUUGUUGGUCCGGUUGUCGACCGUGGCGGACGGCACGCCUGUGCGCCCAAACCGCUGUCGGCCAACAAUUUGAUGAUCGCACACCACGCGUCGAGGACGUUGACGACCAUACGGCUCUAUCCGACCCGUCUUGAAACACGGACCAAGGAGUCUAACAUGUGCGCGAGUCUCUGGGUGAUCGAAACCCGUGGGCACAAUGAAAGUAAAGGCAGUUUCGGCUGCUGAGGUGAGAAGCGUCGGCCUCGCGCGGGCGCCGCGUCAUCGACCGACCUAUUCUAUUCCUAGAAAGGUUUGAGUAAGAGCGUACCUGUUGGGACCCGAAAGAUGGUGAACUAUGCCUGAAUAGGGUGAAGCCAGCGGAAACACUGGUGGAAGCUCGUAGCGAUUCUGACGUGCAAAUCGAUCGUCGAAUUUGGGUAUAGCGGCGAAAGACUAAUCGAACCGUCUAGUAGCUGGUUCCCUCCGAAGUUUCCCAUAGGAUAGCUGGAGCUCG